AUUGAACGCUGGCGGCAUGCCUUACACAUGCAAGUCGAACGGUAACAGGUCUUCGGAUGCUGACGAGUGGCGAACGGGUGAGUAAUACAUCGGAACGUGCCUAGUAGUGGGGGAUAACUACUCGAAAGAGUGGCUAAUACCGCAUGAGAUCUACGGAUGAAAGCAGGGGAUCGCAAGACCUUGUGCUACUAGAGCGGCCGAUGGCGGAUUAGGUAGUUGGUGGGAUAAAAGCUUACCAAGCCGACGAUCUGUAGCUGGUCUGAGAGGACGAUCAGCCACACAGGGACUGAGACACGGCCCAGACUCCUACGGGAGGCAGCAGUGGGGAAUUUUGGACAAUGGGCGAAAGCCUGAUCCAGCAAUGCCGCGUGCAGGAUGAAGGCCUUCGGGUUGUAAACUGCUUUUGUACGGAACGAAAAGCCCCGGGUUAAUACCCUGGGGUCAUGACGGUACCGUAAGAAUAAGCACCGGCUAACUACGUGCCAGCCGCCGCGGUAA
This 498-nucleotide ribosomal RNA is filed under the name uncultured bacterium. RNAcentral's name for it is "partial 16S ribosomal RNA". It matches the Rfam family "Bacterial small subunit ribosomal RNA", at positions 30 to 523 of the family's 1533-position model. The record is from RNAcentral.